AUGGAAGAGAAGAAACCCAAGGUUAAUUAUGAGAUGCCUGCAGGAGGGCAGCAACGGAAUAAAUGUACUGAAAGUAGGUGGUUAUCAGAGAUGCUGAAUUCAUGCUCAGUGCUGAUAACUUCGCUGCAGAUCAGAGCUGAGCAGAUACACAGAAUGUUCUUGAGCUUAGACACACAGAUCCUUGGGAAACAUAGGUAUGGCUAUUCUCUUGCGUCCUGUUCAGUUUCAUGUUUCUUGGAUCGUCUUUUCCGCACGUUCAACUUCAAGCUCCAAUCAUGGGUUUUGUCAACUGGGAGUGUGUGCACUAAGCCAGGGGCGACCAGGAACUCUCACACUAACAGGGUUCUAUCAAGAUUCCCUGUUUUUGUCCAUGAAAUUGGUGUGAUGAGUCAAACUCUUUUGUUCUGUACCAUCCUUACUAGACAUUCGUUUGCAACUGAACCUAGAAGAAAUUUAAUUCACUGGUCAAUUUUGUAUCUAUGGCAUUGA
Molecule: ribosomal RNA, 489 nt
Filed under: Triticum aestivum (bread wheat)
Lineage: Eukaryota; Viridiplantae; Streptophyta; Magnoliopsida; Poales; Poaceae
Description: partial small subunit ribosomal RNA
Source: RNAcentral